RNAcentral lists this ribosomal RNA (510 nucleotides) under uncultured bacterium. Its description in RNAcentral is "partial 16S ribosomal RNA". It matches the Rfam family "Bacterial small subunit ribosomal RNA", at positions 28 to 507 of the family's 1533-position model. The record is from RNAcentral.
GACGAACGCUGGCGGCGUGCUUAACACAUGCAAGUCGAACGAAGAGCGAUGGAAGCUUGCUUCUAUCAAUCUUAGUGGCGAACGGGUGAGUAACGCGUAAUCAACCUGCCCUUCAGAGGGGGACAACAGUUGGAAACGACUGCUAAUACCGCAUACGAUCUAAUCUCGGCAUCGAGGAUAGAUGAAAGGUGGCCUCUAUGUAUAAGCUAUCACUGAAGGAGGGGAUUGCGUCUGAUUAGCUAGUUGGAGGGGUAACGGCCCACCAAGGCGAUGAUCAGUAGCCGGUCUGAGAGGAUGGACGGCCACAUUGGGACUGAGACACGGCCCAGACUCCUACGGGAGGCAGCAGUGGGGAAUCUUCCGCAAUGGACGAAAGUCUGACGGAGCAACGCCGCGUGAGUGAUGACGGCCUUCGGGUUGUAAAGCUCUGUUAAUCGGGACGAAAGGCCUUCUUGCGAAUAGUGAGAAGGAUUGACGGUACCGGAAUAGAAAGCCACGGCUAACUACGUG